Physcomitrium patens is the source of this 557-nucleotide long non-coding RNA. RefSeq lists it as uncharacterized. The record is from RefSeq and is a predicted model, not a curated record. NCBI's taxonomy places the organism in Eukaryota, Viridiplantae, Streptophyta, Bryopsida, Funariales, Funariaceae.
GUCUCAAGGGGGUUGCUAAGCCGCAGGAGGAAUGAGUCAUUGCUCUAACUUUCCCCUUCCUCCGUCUGUUGCUUCCUCCGUUUUCCGUUCAGUGAUGCAAAGGUCGAUCUCCCUCUGUACCGCCUCACACUUCAUGCGCGCAGGGUUUCGCGGUGUACUCCUGCAGGAAAAUCAUUUGACAAGCAAGGCUUUCAACUAAGAUAGGUUGCGGGGGAAGGAUCGUUGUUUGAUUUGAAGGAAUUCGAGAUUGAAGCAGAAGUGAGGAUUCCUGUUUUUGUACUUAUUUCAAGUUGGAGGAAAUUUGAGCUCGGGUGUAUGCUCUUAGGUUACCGCAAUAGUCUCGCCACAUGUUUAGGAGUUCGAUCUGUGGUGGCACUCUGAGUUUCGUUUAAGUUGGUGCAAAUGUUUGGCAAUUCUGCUCCGAAUUUCAGUUAGCGAAUUUCAUGUAAUCUUUUUGUGCGACGUACAGUUUGAGGAUGUACCUCGCGUCCAUUUCUUGUUUACAACGUUGAUGUGAAGGUGUCAUCUCUUGCUGUCAUCAGCUAUCGCCGCCGUUA